This 546-nucleotide unclassified non-coding RNA is filed under the name Athalia rosae (coleseed sawfly). Its description in RNAcentral is "misc RNA ENSAEAG00005010844.1". The record is from RNAcentral. Lineage: Eukaryota; Metazoa; Arthropoda; Insecta; Hymenoptera; Athaliidae.
UACAUGCUAGUGCCUUUUUUGAAUUCGUUCACUUUUUAAUUCGUUGAUGUUUUAUUUCAUCUAUAUUGAUCUUUUCGCAAUGCAACUAGUUCUGAGCUUAAAAGAAAACGCUGAAGGGUCCUCAAAAUUCUCAUGUUAUAGUAACCCUUCUAAAUUUUGAAUUCGCUGAAAAAGAGUAGAAAUAAUUAACAAUUAAAAAAAAAACAAUGUCAGGAGAUGAAAAAAGAGAUGAUUAGGAGCCUAAAACGUCGAAUGAUCAUUUCUUUAUACAUUCUUCUCUCUUUGUUGCAGUAGGCGAAAUGCAUCUUCUCAAUUAUUCGAUGACUCUCAACUUCUUGGGCCGAAAUUUGUGCGACGUGGGCCUCGCCGAUGUCUCUGGAUAUGAGGAGAUGAUUGCGGUGCGGUGGCGGAGUUUUGAGGCGGACGCACGAUCAUCACCGCUCGAUCGAUUGCUCCAAAGUUAUGUAUCGCUCGAAUGAUAAUUGACGAUAACCCUAUGCACUGUGAGAAGUUACAAGAUCCGAAGUCAAGAGCCGUUUUUCCAAG